This 457-nucleotide ribosomal RNA is filed under the name uncultured bacterium. RNAcentral describes it as "bacterial SSU rRNA". It matches the Rfam family "Bacterial small subunit ribosomal RNA", at positions 355 to 802 of the family's 1533-position model. The record is from RNAcentral.
UGGGGAAUAUUGGACAAUGGGCGCAAGCCUGAUCCAGCCAUACCGCGUGGGUGAAGAAGGCCUUCGGGUUGUAAAGCCCUUUUGUUGGGAAAGAAAUCCAGCUGGCUAAUACCCGGUUGGGAUGACGGUACCCAAAGAAUAAGCACCGGCUAACUUCGUGCCAGCAGCCGCGGUAAUACGAAGGGUGCAAGCGUUACUCGGAAUUACUGGGCGUAAAGCGUGCGUAGGUGGUCGUUUAAGUCCGUUGUGAAAGCCCUGGGCUCAACCUGGGAACUGCAGUGGAUACUGGACGACUAGAGUGUGGUAGAGGGUAGCGGAAUUCCUGGUGUAGCAGUGAAAUGCGUAGAGAUCAGGAGGAACAUCCAUGGCGAAGGCAGCUACCUGGACCAACACUGACACUGAGGCACGAAAGCGUUGGGAGCAAACAGGAUUAGAUACCCCAGUAGUCCCUGAGCGG